UGAGGGUGAUAGAGCUGCCGUAGGAGAUCAGUAACAAAGCAAAGCCUAUGGCACACAGCAGCACCUGCCCAGAAACACGUCAGAGAGAAGCUGCAACACUACUGGCCUCUUUAUGCUAAGAGCCAAGUUCAGAGUGAGAGACUACCAGUGCAUCAAGCAGUUGUUCCUGAAGUAUUGGUACAUCCCCCAACACUGGCCUACAGGCUUUUGUGACCAGGACUCCAGGGGCCCUGCAUACAGACAGGGGAAGGCUGAGCACUGGUUCUGCUCACAACUCCCACAUUUGACUGCAUGUGAGCCAAACCAUAAAGAAGCCUAAGGUGCUGCACCCACCUCAGUUGUGAUUGGACCAUGCUCUGCGGUAGAUUAGAGCACACCCAAGUGAAUGAGAAGACGUGGGCACUAGCUGGGCUGGAGGGUCCACAGAGAAAAGCCCUAAUAUCUAUUAAUUCAUCCCGAGGGCCCAAGAAUCUAGAAACCAUUGCCUAUGGAAACAAAAAGUUUAUCACUUCCAUCUUGGUGGUGGUGAUGUUCUACAACCCAAAUCGGGGACAAGAGGGGAUUGCAAUGAGGGAAAGCAGAGGCACUGUGCUUGAUCCCGGGCCAAUAUCUCACCUGAAACAAAUGGGCCCUUGGGAGACCUGACGGGCUGA
This 653-nucleotide long non-coding RNA is filed under the name Chrysemys picta bellii (western painted turtle). Its description in RNAcentral is "lncRNA (ENSCPBG00000014253.1)". The record is from RNAcentral. Lineage: Eukaryota; Metazoa; Chordata; Testudines; Emydidae.